GGUGGAGACGAGAUACAAACCGAUCCGGCUUCCGAGCAACACGAUCAGAAACCCUGCAAAUUUUUUUAUUUUUUUGAUAUUUUUAUUUUACUUAGGAGCACAAAAGAAGUAACCAUAGAAAAUUUGAGCUCAAACAAGUGAAAGACGUGGCCUUUAGAAAUUUCUGAAGACUGCGAAAAAUGUAAAAAAACACGAGGUGAAAACUCAAAUAUUGGAGGUGAAUUUGGAGAUACUAAAAUUUUCAAACCCACCAAUGGUGGAGACAGAUAGGUCCAAAAUUUUUUUCUGACACAAUUUUGAUAUAUGAAACAUUGAAAUCGGAGUUCGUAUGCGAAAGUUAUUGCUAUUUUACGAAUGGGGUCUGAAUUAGAGGACAAAACGGUUCGAAAUUGGGAAAAAUUUGCGGCGGUGGCUAGAAAUUGAUGGAAAACGGUGAGGAAAAACACACGAACUAGACUCUAACAAGACCUAACCAGCAACAAGACCUCGACCAGGACACAAACUCAACACUGCGGACUCUCAAACUGAAAUAUGCAAAGGCUAUGACGCGGAAGGGUUGUAGGACAGGAAAACGAUAUUGCACUGGACUUACGGGACGAACACAAGAACACUCGAAACUAAGGGUAGAUGUGAACCUAACGGUAUACCUGAAGCUUUGAUUACCACUUGAUGAGAGCAACGGUGGCCUGAUCUUAUGAAAUGUUCUGGUAAAUCUCGAUUUGGUGGAGACGAGAUACAAAUCGAUCCAGCUUCCAAACAACACGAUCCGAAACCCUGCAUUUUUUUUAAUUUCUUUGAUAUUUUUCUUUUACUUAGGAGCACUAAUUUAGUAACCAGAGAAAAUUUGAGCUUAAACAAGUGAAAGACGUGGGCUGCGGAAUUUUCUGAAGAUUGAGAAAAAUGUGAAAUAAACUUCACGACGUGAAAACUCAAAUUUCGGAGGCGAAUUUGGAGAUUCUAAAAUUUUCAAACCCGCCCGAGCCAGAGACAGACAAAUCUGAAAAUUUUUUCUCAUCGAUUUUGAUAUAUGGAACAUUGAAAUCGGAGUUCGUAUGUGAAAGUUAUGGCUGUUUUACAAACGGACUCCGAAUUAGAGGACAAAACGGUUCGAAAGUGGGAAAAAUUUGCGGCGGUGGCUAGAAAUUGAUGGAAAACGGUGGAGAAAAACACACGAACUGGACUCUAGCAAGACCUAACCAGCAACAAAACCUCGACCAGGACACAAACUCAACACUGCGGACUCUGAAACUGAAAUAUGCAAAGGCUAUGACGCGGAAGGGUUGUAGGACACGAAAACGAUAUGGCACUGGACUUACGGGACGAACACAAGAACACUCGAAACUAAGGGUAGAUGUGAACCUAACGGUAUACCUGAAGCUUUGAUUACCACUUGAUGAGAACAAGGGUGGCCCGAUCUUCCGAAAGGUUGUGGUAACUCUCGAUUUGGUGGAGACGAGAUACAAAUCGAUCCGGCUUCCAAACAACACGGUCCGAAACCCUGCAAUUUUUUUUAAUUUUUUUGAUAUUUUUCUUUUACUUAGGAGCACUAAAGAAGUAACUAGAGAAAAUUUGAGCUUAAACAAGUGAAAGACGUCGCCUGUGGAAUUUUCUGAAGAUUGCGAAAAAUAUGAAAAAAAACUUCACGAGGUGAAAACUCAAAUUUUGGAGGAACAUUUGGAGAUCCUAAAUUUUCUAACCCACAAGUUCCAAGGAUAGACAGAUCCAAAUUUUUUUCUGAUCGAUUUUGAUAUAUGGAACAUUGAAAUCGGAGUUCGUAUGUGAAAGUUAUGGCUGUUUUAUGAAUGGACUCUAAAUUAGAGGACAAAAUGGUCCGAAAGUGUGAAAAAUCUACGGCAGCGGCUAGAAAUUGAUGGAAACGGUGGGAAAAAUACAUGAACUGGACUCUAACAAAACCUGACCAGCAACAAGACCUCAACCAGGACACCAACUCAACACUGUAGACUCUGAAACUGAAAUAUGCAAAGGCUAUGGCGCGUAAGGGUUGUAGGAUAGGAAAACAAUAUUGCACUGGACUUACGGGACGAACACAAGAACACUCGAAACUAAGGGUAGAUGUGAACCUAACGGUAUACCUGAAGCUUUGAUUACCACUUGAUGAGAGCAAGGGUGGCCUGAUCUUAUGAAAUGUUCUGGUAACUCUCGAUUUGGUGGAGACGAGAUAUAAAUCGAUCUGGCUUCCAAACAACACGAUCCGAAACCCUGCAUUUUUUUUAAUUUAUUUGAUAUUUUUCUUUUACUUAGGAGCACUAAAGAAGUAACCAGAGAAAAUUUGAGCUUAAACAAGUGAAAAGUGAAAGACGUGGCCUGCGGAAUUUUCUGAAGAUUGAGAAAAAUGUGAAAUAUACUUCACGACGUGAAAACUCAAAUUUCAGAGGCGAAUUUGGAGAUUCUAAAAUUUUCAAACCUGACUGGGGCGGAGACAGACAGAUCCAAAAAAAAUUUCUGACACAAUUUUGAUAUAUGGAACAUUGAAAUCAGAGUUCGUAUGCGAAAGUUAUUGCUAUUUUACGAAUGGGAUCCGAAUUAGAGGAUAAUACGGUUCGAAAGUGGGAAAAAUUUGCGGCGGUGGCUAGAAAGUGAUGGGGAAAACACACGAACUGGACUCUAACAAGACCUAACCAGCAACAAUACCUCGACCAGGACACAAACUCAACACUGCAUACUCUCAGACUGAAAUAUGCAAAGGCUAUGACGCUGAAGGGUUGUAGGACAGGAAAACGAUAUGGCACUGGACUUACGGGACGACCACAAGAACACUCGAAACUAAAGGUAGAUGUGAACCUAACGGUAUACCUGAAGCUUUCAUAUUUUUCUUUUACUUAGGAGCACUAAAGAAGUAACCAGAGAAAACUUGAGCUUAAACAAGUGAAAGACAUGGCCUGCGGAAUUUUCUGAAAAUUGCGAAAAAUGUCAAAUAAACUUCACGAGGUGAAAACUCAAAUUUUGGGGGCAAAUUUGGAGAUUCUAAAAUUUUCAAACAUGCCAGUUCCAAGGAUAGACAGAUCCAAAAUUUUUUCUGAUCGAUUUUGAUAUAUGGAAAAUUGAAAUUGGAGUUCGUAUGUGAAAGUUAUGGCUGUUUUAUGAAUGAACUCUAAAUUAGAGGACAAAAUGGUCCGUAAGUGUGAAAAAUUUACGGCGGUGGCUAGAAAUUGAUGGAAACGUUGGGGAAAAAUACAUGAACUGGACUCUAACAAGACCUAACCAGCAACAAGACCUCAACCAGGACACAAACUCAACACUGUAGACUCUGAAACUGAAAUAUGGAAAGGCUACGGCGCGGAAGGGUUGUAGGAUAGGAAAACGAUAUGGCACUGGACUUAUGGGACGAACACAAGAACACUCGAAAUUAAGGGUAGAUGUGAACCUAACAGUAUACCUGAAGCUUUGAUUACCAGUUGAUGAGAACAAGGGUGGCCCGAUCUUCCAAAAGGUUCUGGUAACUCUCGAUUUGGUGGAGACAAGACACAAAUCGAUCCGGCUUCUGAACAACACGAUCCGAAACCCUACAAUUUUUUUAUUUUCUUGAUAUUUUUCUUUUACUUAGGGGCAAUAAAGAAGUAACCGCAGAAAAUUUGAGCUUAAACAAGUGAAAGACGUGGCCUGCAGAAAUUUCUGAAGAUUGCGAAAUAUGUGAGAAAAAUUGAUGAGGUGAAAACUCAAACUUUGGAGGCCAAUUUGGAGAUACUAAAAUUUUCAAACCCAUCGAUGUCAGAGACACACAGAUCCAAAUUUUUUUUCUAAUCGAUUUUGAUAUAUGGAACAUUGAAAUCGGAGUUCGUAUGUGAAAGUUAUGGCUGUUUUACGAACGGACUCCGAAUUAGAGGACAAAACGGUUCGAAAGUGGGAAAAAUUUGCGGCGGUGGCUAGAAAUUGAUGGAAAACGGUGGGGAAAAACACACGAACUGGACUCUAGCAAGACCUAACCAGCAACAAGACCUCGACCAGGACACAAACUCAACACUACGGACUCUGAAACUGAAAUAUGCAAAGGCUAUGACGCGGAAGGGUUGUAGGACAGGAAAACGAUAUGGCACUGGACUUACGAGACGAACACAAGAACACUCGAAACUAAGGGUAGAUGUGAACCUAACGGUAUACCUGAAGUUUUGAUUACCACUUGAUGAGAAAAAAGGUGGCCCGAUCUUCCGAAAGUUUCUGGUAACUCUCGAUUUGGUGGAGACGAGAUACAAACCGAUACGGCUUCUGAGCAACAUGAUCAGAAACCCUGCAAUUUUUUUUAUUUUUUUGAUAUUUUUAUUUUACUUAGGAGCACAAAAGAAGUAACCAUAGAAAAUUUGAGCUCAAACAAGUGAAAGACGUGGCCUGUAGAAAUUUCUGAAGAUUGCGAAAAAUGUAAAAAAAACACGAGGUGAAAACUCAAAUAUUGG
RNAcentral lists this long non-coding RNA (4409 nucleotides) under Sorghum bicolor (sorghum). Its description in RNAcentral is "long non-coding RNA (SBIC_LNC012771)". The record is from RNAcentral. Lineage: Eukaryota; Viridiplantae; Streptophyta; Magnoliopsida; Poales; Poaceae.